AAGUCGUAACAAGGUUUCCGUAGGUGAACCUGCGGAAGGAUCAUUACAAAUCAUGGCGAACCUCGCGUUUCGCGAGGUUUUGCGUCCAUUUUUAUAUUUAAAACAUCCCACUCUUUAAAAAUAUUUAUCUAAUGAUAAAAAUAAAAAAAGAUCACUUUCAACAACGGAUCUCUUGGCUCUC
Molecule: unclassified non-coding RNA, 181 nt
Filed under: fungal sp.
Lineage: Eukaryota; Fungi
Also listed under: 1 other name
Description: partial internal transcribed spacer region
Rfam family: Eukaryotic small subunit ribosomal RNA (bases 1-46)
Source: RNAcentral